ACAUCAUUGAUCCUUGAGUAUUGCUCUAGCUCGUCCACUCUUUUUUCCAGGUCCACUAUCAUCUUGUCUUUUUCCUUGUUUUCAUCACGCAGCUUCUUUACUUCCUCGACCAGACUUAGUAUUUUCUUUUGAUCUUCUCGUAUCGCAGCAACAUCUUCCGCGAGGGUUUCCAGUGACCUCCUAAGUUCGUCUGCCUCAUCUGAGGCAGCGUUUCUCUUCGGUGGCAUUUGGAAAACGUAGUUUUUGGAGCAGAGAGCAUGAUUCAGCGCUCUGCACAGUCUCCGUGACCUCCGUGCUUCAACCAACUCUCACUCCUGCUGACGCGCCAACAUGAUGAUUACAUCAUCAUUGUAUAUAAAAUUUAAAAAAAAGGAAGCAACCUAGCCAAAUUAUACACUAAUCAAUACCAUAUCAAGGAUGGAAAUGACAACUGGGAAGUAGCAAGAUCACGGAUAAUAUGUAUUUAAUGUUCUUUUUAACUCAAAACUAGUGCCUUUGGGGAAUGUUAACUGUGUUUGAUAACCAUCUGUAACUAAGUAAUGGCCUUUUGUCGCUUGCUUUGUGCUGGACGUUGUGCAUGGGGUGGGAGCGUUGUUGAACUCGUGGGGUGUACAUAGUAUUCACUGAGUGUAAUAUGUAUAUUGAUGUGUCUUUGUAAUGUUUUAUUGUUCUAAUGUUUAAUGUUUUUAUUGCAAUGUUGUCGGGGGUGGGCGCUUAUAAGCUUUUACUUCGGCCCACUCCCUUUGAGCAGAAUUUUAACUGCUCAAAUAACUAAUAAACUAAAAGUAAUUAUUUCACAGGUGCAUAAUUUAUAUUCUUCAGUGAGAUAUCGCCUGUAAUAUUAAACAAAAUGGAUGUAAACUAUAUUAGUCACUCUUACUGUAUAUAAGGGUCAAACUUGGAACUUGGUUCAGUGCUAAUGUGCUGAAUCUGAGGCGGCUCCGGUCUGUCCUUUACAUGAUGAGGUUUAUCUCUGUGUUUAACGGCUCUGACUCUCCCCCAGGACGAGACGAGGAGGAAAUGGCAGAAGGAAAAGCAAAGCCUCCAGAGGGCAGCACUGAGCCACAGCUCUAUGGGACAAAAAGCAGAUCUACAGCCUCAGUGUCCGCUCUGUCCAUGAAGAGUGACUGGUCUAAAGACCGUGAUCCAACCUUCAGUCCUGAACCUGCUCCAGACUCACGACGCAGAUCUACAGCCUCAGUGUCCGUGAAGAGUGACAGGUCUAAAGACCGUGAUCCAUGCUUCAGUCCUGAACCUGCUCCAGACUCACGAAGCAGAUCUACAGCCUCAGUGUCCAUGAAGAGUGACUGGUCUAAAGACCGUGAUCCAUGCUUCAGUCCUGAACCUGCUCCAGACUCACGAGAAACAGAGUCAGAGCAGGACGCCUGGCCUCAGUGUGGAGACACAGGCAACAGUCCUGAUCAGUGGGUUCAAGGCCCUGCACCAGGUGAGUCUGCUCAGUCUGA
Molecule: long non-coding RNA, 1466 nt
Organism: Neogobius melanostomus (round goby)
Lineage: Eukaryota; Metazoa; Chordata; Actinopteri; Gobiiformes; Gobiidae
Source: Ensembl